UCUACCUUCCGCUAUGGAUGUGUCAACGUGGUGAAAACUUGAAGUAUUUAAAUAUAUUUAAGGACAUUUUGGUAAAAUCUGAUAGUAUAGAAGGUAGAAUGGCUUCUGCAGGUGCAGCUCUUCCAUCAGUGUUCCCCAUCCAGAUUAUCUGAUGUUUUCAAAAUUGGUCCUAAUAGUAGUGGAAAUGCCUUGGAAUGUGGAGUAGGACAAUCAAUAUGUGACCUGAUUUGGCUGCUGAGGCUUUCUCUUGGUGGAAUGGAAUAGAGAGAGAAGAACAAACUUUCUCUGCCAUGAAAGACAAUGAUUUUAAUCAGGCUCUGAAAUGUCAUUCUCUGGGGAUGUGGAUGUUAAAAUGCCAGCGAGGAGGAGAAGCACCAUCAACACAAACCAGCGGGGCAGCCACGGAGUGAAGCAGCCUCGGUGUGUGGAGCUCUGAUACAACAUCCUGAUACCAAGAUCCUUCAGCUCCCAUCACAGUGAUCCUCACCACCACCACCUUGCCUUCAUUCUCUCUGUAUCUAAAGGAAUUAUUUUCCUUUUUGUUGUUGUAACAUGGACUCUCUCAGAUUCAACUGAGCAGAUCUCAGACUCCAGUGAGCAACCACGAGCGACUGCAGAAGGUGGAGCUGAGGCUGUGCCCUCCUGGAUCCAGCCAAGAUGAAGCAGCACAAGGCAGCUCCAAGAUAAUGAUUUAUUUUUGGCCCAAACUCGGAAUACCUCUCAGGACACCUCAGCAAGGAGGGAGCAAAAGAACCAAUGCAUUAACUCUGAGAAGGGGCAGCAGAAGGAAAGCCUGGAGCUGGAACAUCCUUUGAGCAACAGCAAAGCAAGAGAAAGCAAAAACAUCCCUCUAAGAUGGCUGCAAACAGAAGCUUUCCUGGAGCCAUCCUUGACUCAGCCAAGGCCAGAUGGGACUUCUUCCUUCUUUGCAGAUCCUGAAGAUUAUAAAGCUUCAAUUUACUUUUCCACAACCAAAUGUUUAGUACCUGCUGGACUACAUUUUCCUUUGGUAUUUCUUUUUAGCAGCAGUCCCAAUCUUUAACCCACUGGUUCUUUUGGGUUGAGCCAAGGGUUCAUCUGAUCCACCUGGAAAUAUCAAGUUCCAGGACAUAAGAGCAUCACCUGCCUUCCUGACAAUUCCCAAAUUAAAUGCAGCACAGAAUCUUGGCUAUAUCUCAAAAAUAGGUGAUUUUUAUUUCCUUUAAUUUAAAGAGGAGGAGAGAAUACUUGUAGGAAAAAAAAAAAAAAAGAAAGAUGAGAAGGAAGAGAGAAGGUCAGUGAAUAUCCAGUACUGAUUUAGAAACAGGCUCUGCCAAGCAGGGGGAAAAGGAGCCUUUCCCAAUCCAUUCAGUUUAUGGUUAUUAGUAUUGAUAUUGUAUUUCUCUUGGCUCCCAAAAGGAAAAGUGGGGAAUGAAUCAGGAAAAAAAAAAUACUUUUCUGUAAAUAAUUUUUUUUUCCAAUUCAGAUGUUUUUUAGGAAACUAAUCUGGGGAGGGGGGAAAUCUGCUUCUCAAAUGUCAAGGACUUGAAAGACUAAAAAUACAUCACCGGAAUAAAUAAAUUAACCCAGAAGACA
Molecule: long non-coding RNA, 1575 nt
Organism: Cyanistes caeruleus (blue tit)
Lineage: Eukaryota; Metazoa; Chordata; Aves; Passeriformes; Paridae
Source: Ensembl